UAGGGAAUCUUCGGCAAUGGACGAAAGUCUGACCGAGCAACGCCGCGUGAGUGAAGAAGGUUUUCGGAUCGUAAAACUCUGUUGUUAGAGAAGAACAAGGACGGUAGUAACUGAACGUCCCCUGACGGUAUCUAACCAGAAAGCCACGGCUAACUACGUGCCAGCAGCCGCGGUAAUACGUAGGUGGCAAGCGUUGUCCGGAUUUAUUGGGCGUAAAGCGAGCGCAGGCGGUUUCUUAAGUCUGAUGUGAAAGCCCCCGGCUCAACCGGGGAGGGUCAUUGGAAACUGGGAGCCUUGAGUGCAGAAGAGGAGAGUGGAAUUCCAUGUGUAGCGGUGAAAUGCGUAGAUAUAUGGAGGAACACCAGUGGCGAAGGCGGCUCUCUGGUCUGUAACUGACGCUGAGGCUCGAAAGCGUGGGGAGCAAACAGG
Molecule: ribosomal RNA, 429 nt
Filed under: Gemmatimonadota bacterium
Lineage: Bacteria; Pseudomonadati; Gemmatimonadota
Description: Gemmatimonadetes bacterium partial 16S ribosomal RNA
Rfam family: Bacterial small subunit ribosomal RNA
Source: RNAcentral